GAUGAACGCUGGCGGCGCGCCUAACACAUGCAAGUCGAACGAUUAAAGCACCUUCGGGUGUGUAUAAAGUGGCGAACGGCUGAGUAACACGUGGGCAACCUGCCCCUUUCAUUGGGAUAGCCACGGGAAACCGUGGAUAAUACCGAAUACUUCGAGACUUCCGCAUGAAAGACUCGAGAAAGCUCCGGCGGAGAGGGAUGGGCCCGCGGCCUGUUAGCUUGUUGGUGGGGUAACGGCCUACCAAGGCAAUGAUGGGUAGCUGGGUUGAGAGACCGACCAGCCAGAUUGGGACUGAGACACGGCCCAGACUCCUACGGGAGGCAGCAGUGGGGAAUCUUGCACAAUGGGCGAAAGCCUGAUGCAGCGACGCCGCGUGCGGGAUGAAGGCCUUCGGGUUGUAAACCGCUUUCAGCAGGGACGAGGCGAAAGUGACGGUACCUGCAGAAGAAGCCCCGGCUAACUACGUG
This 467-nucleotide ribosomal RNA is filed under the name uncultured bacterium. Its description in RNAcentral is "partial 16S ribosomal RNA". It matches the Rfam family "Bacterial small subunit ribosomal RNA", at positions 28 to 507 of the family's 1533-position model. The record is from RNAcentral.